GUGUGUUUGCAUGCUAGGCACUGUGGUGUUAAAGCUUGUACCUGGGAUCGUGUCCCUACCCGAAGUCUAAAUCCGAUUGUGGCUUUGGAUUCAUUCCAUAGCGGGUGAAAGUCCCGUGCGGGUAGGACUAUUGCAAAUCCACACGGUCCUCAGAUGUGCAUGCUUUCGAGUCGGAUUGCUUGAGAAUGCAGUCCAAAGUGGGUGGUAAACUCCAUCCAAGGCUAAAUACUGGCACGAGUCCGAUAGUAGACAAGUACCGUGAGGGAAAGUUGAAAAGUACUCUGAAGAGAGAGUAAAUAGUACGUGAAGCCGAUUGCAGGGAAGCUGGUGGAGUCAAGCUUCGUGCUUGAGGGAUUGAUGCUGGGAGCAGGUGUGUGUAUUGGAUGCGGGGCUGGACAACUUGGAAUAAGUUGGGCGUGUUCUGAAUGCGCUUCAAGUCAUUCCGGGCAGAGUGUUAUGAGCCAGCCUCGCUUUCCUACUCUCAGUGUUGUAUUCCUCGCUGCACAGGCCACAGUCAAUGGUUGCAUGCGGUAUGAAGGCCUAACUGUGCUUCGGCGGGCGCAAGCUCUCCGGGUGCAGGAUGGCAGGUGCUGUCUUCAGGCCUUGUGUCUGUUGAUAGUUGUUGUGGUUUUGACCG
This 637-nucleotide ribosomal RNA is filed under the name Cichlidogyrus papernastrema. RNAcentral describes it as "partial large subunit ribosomal RNA". It matches the Rfam family "Eukaryotic large subunit ribosomal RNA", at positions 124 to 628 of the family's 3401-position model. Lineage: Eukaryota; Metazoa; Platyhelminthes; Monogenea; Dactylogyridea; Ancyrocephalidae. The record is from RNAcentral.